This 500-nucleotide ribosomal RNA is filed under the name uncultured bacterium. RNAcentral describes it as "bacterial SSU rRNA". It matches the Rfam family "Bacterial small subunit ribosomal RNA", at positions 903 to 1397 of the family's 1533-position model. The record is from RNAcentral.
AAAGGAAUAGACGGGGGCCCGCACAAGCGGUGGAGCAUGUGGUUUAAUUCGAUACUAACCGAAGAACCUUACCCAGGCUUGACAUCCCCGGACAGCCCAUGAAAGUGGGUCUCUUCCCCGAAAGGGGAGGCUGGGUGACAGGUGUUGCAUGGCUGUCGUCAGCUCGUGUCGUGAGAUGUUGGGUUAAGUCCCGCAACGAGCGCAACCCUCAUCGCAUGUUGCCAGCGUAAAGCCGGGCACUCUUGCGAAACUGCCCGUGUAAGCGGGAGGAAGGUGGGGAUGACGUCAAGUCGGCAUGGCCCUUACGCCUGGGGCUACACACAUGCUACAAUGGCCGGUUACAGAGGGACGCAAGACCGCGAGGUGGAGCUAAUCCCACAAACCCGGUCCCAGUUCGGAUUGCAGUCUGCAACUCGACUGCAUGAAGUCGGAAUCGCUAGUAACCGCAGGUCAGCUAUACUGCGGUGAAUACGUUCCCGGGCCUUGUACACACCGCCCGU